GGGGAACCUGCGGCUGGAUCACCUCCUUUCUAAGGAGCUUCGAGGGUCCGGGGAUCCUACUCGGAUCUCCGGGCCCUCCAAAGCUUAGUUCUUCAGCUCAAACUUUCUCGCGUGAGCCAGUAACAUUAUUUUCCGUUGGGCCUUUAGCUCAGCUGGCUAGAGCGCGCGCUUGAUAAGCGCGAGGUCCCUGGUUCGACCCCAGGAAGGCCCACCAGAAUGGCGUGUUGGGGAUGUAGCUCAGUUGGGAGAGCACCUGCUUUGCAAGCAGGGGGUCGCCGGUUCGACUCCGGUCAUCUCCACCAAGCGUGAACGCGAUUGAGAGAGGCGCGGCUCUGGCCGCGAAGCUCUUUGACAAUUGAAUACGUUGAUUCUCGAGUGUAGCCAAGCGAUGUUCUUCUUAGGCAAGCAAUGAUUUCGUGGUCAAGCUACUAAGGGCGAAC
RNAcentral lists this transfer RNA (440 nucleotides) under uncultured bacterium. RNAcentral's name for it is "partial may contain 16S ribosomal RNA, 16S-23S ribosomal RNA intergenic spacer, and 23S ribosomal RNA". The stretch from base 227 to 299 matches the Rfam family "tRNA". The record is from RNAcentral.